GAUGAAGAACGCAGCGAAAUGCGAUAAGUAAUGUGAAUUGCAGAAUUCAGAGAAUCAUCGAAUCUUUGAACGCACCUUGCGCUCCUUGGUAUUCUGAGGAGCAUGCCUGUUUGAGUGUCAUUUAAUUCUCAAACUUUACCUAGUUUGCAAAAACUAGAUCAGGUUUGGAGUCUGGAAGUUGCUGGCUUUUUUUUUAAGCUAGCUCUUCUAAAAUAUAUUAGCAGAAUUAUUGCUACUCAAUAUGGUAUGAUAAUUAUCUAUACCGUUGAAAGUAAGCUUUCUGAUUUUGCUUCUAAUUGUCUACCAAGACAACCUUGAUACCUUUGACCUCAAAUCAGGUAGGACUACCCGCUGAACUUAAGCAUAUCAAUAAGCGGAGGA
This 381-nucleotide unclassified non-coding RNA is filed under the name soil metagenome. Its description in RNAcentral is "partial contains 5.8S ribosomal RNA, internal transcribed spacer 2, and large subunit ribosomal RNA". The stretch from base 1 to 120 matches the Rfam family "5.8S ribosomal RNA", at positions 35 to 154 of the family's 154-position model. The record is from RNAcentral.